RNAcentral lists this long non-coding RNA (942 nucleotides) under Homo sapiens (human). RNAcentral's name for it is "non-protein coding lnc-ELFN2-3:2". The record is from RNAcentral. Lineage: Eukaryota; Metazoa; Chordata; Mammalia; Primates; Hominidae.
AUUGACCCCUGCUGGGCUGGACUUGAGGUUCACGGCCACAUGGUUCCCUGUGCAGCGCCCCGUGGGUCCCAGCAGACACAGCACCAUAAUGGGAGACUUCUAGGCCGAGAGGGCAAAAGCUUCAAACAGCAGGCGGCAGCACCAGCUGUGUGGUGGCUGGGAGCUGGUCUAGCCUCCGCCUUCCUUCCAGAAGUCUCCCCAGCAUCCUCAACCAGGUCAGAUCCCCCAGCAUGACUCAACAUCCCUUCGACUUCCCUUCUGCAGCCCUGGCAGGAGCUGUGUUGCAGCGGUGCCUGUUGCAUGUGGAAGUCUCCCUUCAAGGUUUGCAUCAUGGAACUCACCUGGCCCAACCUCUCAGGGAGGAAAAUUCCAACCAGAGAGGUGCCCCAGGAGAAACUGAAGCUCUUCACCACGGUGGCUGUGGCUUUGUCAUGCUCAGCAGUUUCAGCUCCCACACUGCUUAGCCUCACUCGGACUCCGGGAUGCUGUGCAGGAAAUUUCCCAGUGGCUCCAGCCUCGGGAUCCUGCAACCUGAACACCUACUGGCUUCUUGGGGUCAUCCACCUUCUGCACCGAGAGGUUCUCAAGAGGCCGCUCCUGUACUCUGGGAUGCCUUCUCCUGUCUGCCUGCCCAAAUCCUCGCUGACCUUCAAGUUCCAGCGUCGGGAAGUGCCUGGCCGCAUUUCUUAAAGGUUUUACAAGGAUAGACAUCAUUUCCUCCAAAAGAACACAGAGGGAAUGUUGAGCGCUCCCUUUCCCUACUUCUCCUUCUCAUGAUUAAGCAGGCAUUGUGGCUGUUGAGAUUAAAGCCCCAUGCGGAGAUGCAGGGCACCAGGCUAGAUGGAGCCCAGGUCCCCAGGCAGCGGUGUGGAGAAGACUCAUCAUGUUCACCUGGCCCACCUAUCCAUUUGGACUUUUCAAUAAGAAAUAAAUCAGUUUUGA